This is a long non-coding RNA of Cyanistes caeruleus (blue tit), 1991 nucleotides long. Lineage: Eukaryota; Metazoa; Chordata; Aves; Passeriformes; Paridae. The record is from Ensembl.
CCUGGAGCCCCCCGGAUCCAGGCCGGGAUUUCCCUGCAGCCCGCAUUCCCCGUGAGAUCCAGGCCGGGAUUUCCCUGCAGCCCGCAUUCCCCGUGAGAUCCAGGCCGGGAUUUCCCUGCAGCCCGCAUUCCCCGUGAGAUCCAGGCCGGGAUUUCCCUGCAGCCCGCAUUCCCCGUGAGAUCCAGGCCGGGAUUUCCCUGCAGCCCGCAUUCCCCGUGAGAUCCAGGCCGGGAUUUCCCCUGGUUCCCAAUCCCACCCAAAAUCCAGUCCGGGCUUUCCCGAGUCCCCAAUUCCCGCUGUUUCUCCUCAUUCCCAAUCCCGGUUUAUCCCUGGUUAUUCCAGGUUUUUCCCGUUUCGUAUCCGGUUAUUCCCGGUUAUUCCCAUUUCCAUCCCCAGUCCCGUCCCCAUUCCCGGUUAUUCCCAUUUCCACUCCAGGUUGUUCCCGUUUCAUUCCCGGUUAUUCCGUUAUUCCCGUUCCCAUUCCCGGUUAUUCCUGUUCCCAUAUCCGUUCCCAUUCCCGGUUAUUCCCGUCCCAUUCCCGUUUCCAUUCCCGGUUAUUCCCGUUUCCAUUUCCGUUUCCAUUCCUGUUUCCGUUCCGGUUUCCGUUCCCGUCCCCAUUCCCGGUUAUUCCCGUUCCCAUUCCCAUUUCCAUUCCCGUUUCCAUUCCUGUUUCCGUUCCUGUUCCCAUUCCUGUCCCCAUUCCCGGUUAUUCCCGUUCCCAUUCCCGUUUCAUCCCCGGUUAUUCCCGUUUCCAUUCCUGUUUCCGUUCCUGUUUCCGUUCCCAUUCCCGUUUCCAUUCCCGGUUAUUCCCGUUCCCAUUCCCGUCCCCAUUCCCGGUUAUUCCCGUUCCCAUUCCCGGUUAUUCCCGUUCCCAUUCCUGUUCCCAUCCCUGGUUAUUCCCGUUUCCAUUCCCGGUUAUUCCUAUUCCCCAUUCCCGGUUAUUCCCGUUACCAUUCCUGUUCCCAUUCCCGGUUAUUCCAGUUUCCACUGCCAUUUCCAUUCCCGGUUAUUCCCCGGUUAUUCCUGUUUCCAUUCCCGUUUCAUCCCUGGUUAUUCCCAUUUCCAUUCCCGGUGUUUCCAUUCCCGGUUAUCCCCGGUUAUUCCCGUUUCCAUUCCCAGUUAUUCUCGUUCCCAUUCCCGGUUAUUCCCGGUGUUUCCAUUCCCGGUUAUCCCCGGUUAUUCCCGGUGUUUCCAUUCCCGGUUAUUCCCGGUGUUUCCAUUCCCGGUUAUCCCCGGUUAUUCCCGGUGUUUCCAUUCCUGGUUAUCCCCGUUCCCAUUCCCGGUUAUCCCCGGUGUUUCCAUCCCCAGUUAUUCCCGUUCCCAUUCCCGGUUAUUCCCGGUGUUUCCAUUCCCGUUCCCAUUCCCGGUUAUCCCCGAUGUUUCCAUUCCCGGUUAUCCCCGGUUAUUCCCGUUUCCAUUCCCGGUUUUCCCGUUCCCAUUCCCGGUUAUUCCCGCUGUUCCCAUUCCCUGUUAUUCCCAUUCCCGUUCCCGGUUCUCCCGCGGUACCUGCCGGGGUCGUGCCGUCUCCGGGCCGGUUCCGUGGGGGUGUCCCCGGUGCCGCCAUCCCCGCCCCGCUCGCGGCUCCCGCUGCGGCUGCCGGGACCCGAACCGGGAACAUCUGCACCGGGAGAGGGGGAUCCCGGGAAUAACGGGGAUACCGGGAAUAUCCCGGGGAUAACGGGGAUACCGGGAAUAUCCCGGGGAUAACGGGGAUAACGGGAAUAUCCCAGGGAUAACGGGGAUACCGGGAAUAUCCCGGGAAUAACGGGAAUAUCCCGGGGAUAACGGGAAUACCGGGAAUAUCUCGGUGAUAACGGGGAUACCGGGAAUAUCCCGGGGAUACCGGGAAUAUCCCGGGAAUAACGGGGAUACCGGGAAUAUCCCGGGAAUAACGGGGAUACCGGGAAUAUCCCGGGGAUACCGGGAAUAUCCCGGGAAUAACGGGGAUACCGGGAAUAUCCCGGGGAUCCCGGGAAUACCGGGAAUAUCUC